UGAUGACGAGUGGCGGACGGGUGAGUAAAGUAUGGGGAUCUGCCGAAUGGAGGGGGACAACAGUUGGAAACGACUGCUAAUACCGCAUAAAGUUGAGAGACCAAAGCAUGGGACUUUCGGGCCAUGCGCCAUUUGAUGAACCCAUAUGGGAUUAGCUAGUUGGUAGGGUAAUGGCUUACCAAGGCGACGAUCUCUAGCUGGUCUGAGAGGAUGACCAGCCACACUGGAACUGAGACACGGUCCAGACUCCUACGGGAGGCAGCAGUGGGGAAUAUUGCACAAUGGGGGGAACCCUGAUGCAGCCAUGCCGCGUGUAUGAAGAAGGCCUUCGGGUUGUAAAGUACUUUCGGUAAUGAGGAAGGUAGCGUAUCUAAUAGGUGCGUUAAUUGACGUUAAUUACAGAAGAAGCACCGGCUAACUCCGUGCCAGCAGCCGCGGUAAUACGGAGGGUGCGAGCGUUAAUCGGAAUGACUGGGCGUAAAGGGCAUGUAGGCGGAUAAUUAAGUUAGGUGUGAAAGCCCUGGGCUCAACCUAGGAAUUGCACUUAAAACUGGUUAACUAGAGUAUUGUAGAGGAAGGUAGAAUUCCACGUGUAGCGGUGAAAUGCGUAGAGAUGUGGAGGAAUACCGGUGGCGAAGGCGGCCUUCUGGACAGAUACUGACGCUGAGAUGCGAAAGCGUGGGGAGCAAACAGGAUUAGAUACCCUGGUAGUCCACGCUGUAAACGAUGUCGAUUUGGAGUUUGUUGCCCUGAGUGAUGGGCUCCGAAGCUAACGCGAUAAAUCGACCGCCUGGGGAGUACGGCCGCAAGGUUAAAACUCAAAUGAAUUGACGGGGGCCCGCACAAGCGGUGGAGCAUGUGGUUUAAUUCGAUGCAACGCGAAGAACCUUACCUGGUCUUGACAUCCACAGAAUCUUGCAGAGAUGCGAGAGUGCCUUCGGGAACUGUGAGACAGGUGCUGCAUGGCUGUCGUCAGCUCGUGUUGUGAAAUGUUGGGUUAAGUCCCGCAACGAGCGCAACCCUUAUCCUUUGUUGCCAUCGGUUAGGCCGGGAACUCAAAGGAGACUGCCGUUGAUAAA
This 1079-nucleotide ribosomal RNA is filed under the name gamma proteobacterium PEB0152. Its description in RNAcentral is "bacterial SSU rRNA". It matches the Rfam family "Bacterial small subunit ribosomal RNA", at positions 86 to 1162 of the family's 1533-position model. Lineage: Bacteria; Pseudomonadati; Pseudomonadota; Gammaproteobacteria. The record is from RNAcentral.